RNAcentral lists this ribosomal RNA (84 nucleotides) under Gentiana prostrata. RNAcentral's name for it is "partial 5.8S ribosomal RNA". It matches the Rfam family "5.8S ribosomal RNA", at positions 73 to 154 of the family's 154-position model. Rfam says of the family: 5.8S ribosomal RNA (5.8S rRNA) is a component of the large subunit of the eukaryotic ribosome. It is transcribed by RNA polymerase I as part of the 45S precursor that also contains 18S and 28S rRNA. The record is from RNAcentral. Lineage: Eukaryota; Viridiplantae; Streptophyta; Magnoliopsida; Gentianales; Gentianaceae.
UGCGGAAUCCCGGGAAUCAUCGAGUCUUUGAACGCAAGUUGCGCCCGAAGCCAUUAGGCUGAGGGCACGUCUGCCUGGGCGUCA